This 589-nucleotide long non-coding RNA is filed under the name Mytilus galloprovincialis (Mediterranean mussel). The record is from RNAcentral. Lineage: Eukaryota; Metazoa; Mollusca; Bivalvia; Mytilida; Mytilidae.
GUCAGUUAUAAAUAUAUUGCAUGUAUUCUUUUAAUGAAAAUGCAGGUAUAUAUUCAAUUUUAGUUUAAUUCUGGGUAUUUCAAUUAUAUGAAACAUAAGUAUAUAACAAGAAAAAGCUAACAUUUGCCUCUCUGGGAGAGGGCAGGGAUUUGUACCAAAGUCAUAUUUUUCUCCGUAUAUUCAGAUAACAUCUUUGUUUUUUAGUUCGGGGUGCAAACAAUUGUUAUUUAUUUGCUUUUUUUCUAAAGCAAUCUUUUUUUUUAAAUACUAUGUGUACUACCAUUGUAAUAAUACAGAUUAAUUAAUAUAGACCGUGUCGUACAUCGACUUUUCUAACUCGCAACUCGAGUUCCAUACGAAUACCUCUGUGUCUAAAUUUAAAAUUGACGUGAACAAAUUCUGCUUUUUCAUUGAACUAAUGCAAACUUGUUUUAUUAAAUCCCCGUUCUCCUCUUGUCUCCCUUAUAGCUUAAACGGAAAUCGUUGUUGCCCGAGUAAUUUCGGUCCAAGAAACUCGGACAACUGUUGUAAAUUAAUUCAAGGUUAAACAUAUUGGACAUUUGAUUGUGAAUAAUGUAUUUGCUGCAGG